CUAUCAAUCAGCAAGAUUUCUGGCUCGCAGGUGUCUUUUAUACAGGUAACGAGCUGACAGGACAACUGCACUGCAUCAAAAGGACGAUGGACAGGGCCAUGUACCAUCAAAUCUUGGGUGAGAACCUCCUUCCCUCAACCAGGGCAUUGAAAAUAGGUUGUGGAUGGGUAUUCUAGCAUGACAGUGACACAAAACACACAGCUAAGGCAGCAAAGGAGUGGUUUAAGAAGAAGCACAUUAAAGUCCUCGAGUGGCC
Molecule: non-coding RNA, 256 nt
Organism: Pelobates cultripes (western spadefoot toad)
Lineage: Eukaryota; Metazoa; Chordata; Amphibia; Anura; Pelobatidae
Source: the annotation of a GenBank genome assembly